Long non-coding RNA from Colossoma macropomum (tambaqui), 3834 nucleotides. RefSeq lists it as uncharacterized. The record is from RefSeq and is a predicted model, not a curated record. Lineage: Eukaryota; Metazoa; Chordata; Actinopteri; Characiformes; Serrasalmidae. The transcript is spliced from 3 exons.
GAUACCAUUUUACUUUGUAAUAAACAUCUUAUGCAAGUAAUGCUGUGUCAGCAGAGACUUCUUCUUCAUUGCAUCGAUGAGGUUAUUGCUGUGGCUAUGAUUUUGAAGGGGAUGAAGGCUACUACAGGGAAGGCGACAAUUUCUACUUUUGUUACUUUGGGAAAUAUUACAAGUGAGGUUGGGCCAAGGGCAACCUUUGCUAAUCUCUGUCACCUAUGAAAUUUGUAAAUGUAACACAGACACCUGAUAUGACAUCUUGGACCUUUAAAGAAGUAGUAAAUAUAACCCAGAAACCUAUGUUAAAGAUAGAGCUUAGUGUGAAUACUAGUAAUGAGAUUUUUGAACCGAGAGAACAGAAGGUGGAAGAGCAUGAUGCGGAUUCAUCUGUGACAGCUCAGAGGACAGCUUAGACGUGGAAGAGGAGUUUUUUGACUUUGACUGAACACCAGAAGACGUGACUGACCAUUAUCGUGUAUUAUAGAAGAUUCCUAGGUGUUACAAAUCGCAGACCCAGGAGCAGGUAGGAACUUAUGGUUCCAGCAGUUAACUCAUUCUGUAAGAUCGGUUAGGAAGCUGAAUUGUCCAUGUGUGGUGAACGUUCCAACACCAGGCACAUGGCCUUCAAUUUCAGAGACGGUACCAGGACCAUUAAGUCUUAAAUGUCAAUCAUAUGCAUUAUAGUGGCUGUUAUAUCAGCAGCAAUCAGCAGAAGAUAAGGUGAUGGCUCUGUCAGUGCAUCUGUUUAGACCUAGACAUAAUUGUUCUUGGUUGGGAGAAUAACCAUAUGUGAAUUUACUUGAUCAGUGUAACAUGAUAGGACCACUCAGACAUUCGCGGAUAAAAAGACCGAGGAGGCUUCACUGUUUGACUCAUCAAUCAAAAUUGUUGUCAGGAAACAGGCACAGAUCAAAUCCAGAAAGGGCAGCAAGAAACACAAACAUAACAACAGGCAAAAACAAUUCAAAAGGGGACAGGCAAAAACAGGUGAGUCAAAAUACAGAUGAAUAGUUAAAACUUGGAAAACACAACAUAGGAAAAAAAUGCUCAGUAGCUCUAGAAAGAAGCAAUACCUCACACUGAACUGUUCUAAAAGCCCAGGCUUUAUACUGAAGCUGAUGAGAGGUCACAGGUGUAACAGAUCAGUACUCAGGAGAGAGAGACCUGUGAUAGGAGCAUGGUGGAGGGUCAGGAGUCAUGUGAUCUCCCAGAGGAUUCUGGGAGAUGGAGUCCAGGGAAACCUCUGAGCCAUAGGGAUGCAUGACAAUCAGCAUGAAAAUAUGAUAACAGCAAUCCCUGAUCCAUUGGAGGUGAAAUCUGUGGGAUUUGUGGUGAUAAGGCAUAUAUAUUUCUACCAUAUGGGUGGAUAGGAUGCUGUUACAUGGCAACGUUGAAGCUUCCAUAUGAGGUUUUUACUGUCCAGAAGGGAAAAGUUUCUGAUGAGGUUCAAUCUGAUGCUAUUUCUGGAAAUAAGAAGAAAAGGGAACUGGCACAAUUUCAUAAUCUGGAGUCCUAUCAUUGGAGGAUAAGUCUAGGAGAGAAGUGGGGUAUAGGAUUAUUUCCAUGGUAUUGUGUGACAUUUUUGGCAGAUCACAUUGAUAAUAUUACCUACACCCUAUAGGGUUUUGCAAAUGAGACUAUAAGAGGUUUUGAAUACUUGUCAAAUACUCAAAAGAGUCAUAGACUGACGUUGCUGAAACAUGACAUGGCUCUUGAUUAUCUUUUGGCCAAACAAGGUGGCCUGUGUGUGGCUUUGAACUUAACUGGGGAUGCCUGUUAUACUUUGAUUCCUGAUAGUUUUGACAAGAUGACUAGUGUCACAGAUGUACUGAUGCAUAUAAGGGAGGCGUUUGGCCCAGCGGAAGGAGCUGGAUGGUCUGCGAAUGCUUGGUUGCAGGAGAAAUUAGGACCAUUGGGAGCAGUGUUAGUUCAGAUUAUGGUAGCAGUUCUUAUAUCAUUGAGUGUGAUGUUCUGUUUCUGUACAUUGUUGUUAACUUUUGCGAAGGCUAUGAUAUUCAGAUGGGUUGGUGUUGUGAUGCCUUGAGAUCAAGUUCAGAUGCCAUUACUACAUGGUACUGACACAGACGAUGAUAUGGAAAUAUCCAUUUUGAAUAUCUGUUCUUAUUAUAGUCUUGACAUUUAUUUCCAUUACUAUUUGGGUAUUUAGUAGUCUCUUACUAUAGAGUUAGAUGAUAGCAGGGGAAAUGAAAAGGUGACUUAUAACUUGGAAUAAUGUGAAAAUAUGAUAUUGUGAAUUUCACAAUUACUUAUAAGGUGUUAAUCCAUAUUUGAUGUUUCAAUUUGCAUCUGUUUUUUCGCAAAAGAUACUGGUUGGUGGUUUUCUUUUCUUUCCUUCAAGAAUGAAGUUGGGGGAAGACCACUGUAAGGGUGGUUGGAUGUUCGGGGACCCCGAUGUGCAUGGACAAUAAGACUGGACUGAAGGACUUUGAAUAAGGACACUGUGAUACAAUGCCCAGAGUCAACACAUCAUCGACGCUACAUUGAGAGUCAACGCUGCUGAGGAGCUGCAGUGUGAUACAUUUUUAUGUCUUCAUAUAUAUAUUUGCAUAGUAUUGGAUUAUAUUGUAAGGGGGGAUAUUGAUAGAGGACAUUUAUAAGGUAGUGAUAAUCUUAGUAAGACAUAUUAGAUUGAGUGUUUGAGUUGUUUAGUGCAUGAGUAGUACUUAAAUGUAUAACACUUUCUUUGGGUUUUAAUUGAUUGAAGACUGAUGUUUUCUGUUAUGGGGUAAGUACAUUGGGACCUCAGAUGUUUUUUUUCUUUUUUUGGGUGUUUAGGGAUAUUGGUGUUAGGCAGGGAAAGGUCCAUUGGAAGGUCCGAUGGGUUGACCAGCCUGAAUGUGGACAUUGUUUUGAUUUUAUUUUCUGAGGAUUCCAUAUGUAUUUGCUUAAGUCAUAUCUCUAUACAAUUUGUCAAAAUUCCUCUUUUUAAAGUAGUCUGGAGUAUUCUAUGUGGUCGCCUAAGGCAGAGGAGCCGUGAGAGAAUUUUUCCUGUCCAGAUUGUUUGAUGGACAUUUCAGGAUGAAUGCUCUCACACUCCAGAAAGUUGUUGCAUUGCUAAGGUUAUGCUGUAGGAAGCAUAUAUAGGAGGACCUGUUAUUUUGUUACAACCACAAAUAUGUAUGUGAUACCUUUUUGUUUUUCGAGACUUUGUGGAAGCCUCGAAGGGGGGAAUAUGAGGUGUAUUUAGAAGAAUAGUUUUAUAGAAGAAGGUAAAAACACUCUUAAACUUCUAUAAGUAUAAGGUGAGGUCUGAAGUCCUUUGUGUUAUCUGUCCUGCAGGAUUUGGAAUGUUUACGUUAAGGCCCCCCUGGUCCAGAGGGCACCUGGUCCAUAGGUCUAUCUCUUUGUUCCACAUAGAUGAGAUCAAUUUAAAAAGGGCCAUAUGUUCAGUUUGCUUUUUCAACAACAAGUAUCCUACAUAAGCAGCUGGUUUAUUCUGUUCUGGAGGGGACACAAUUGGCACGGAUCCUCUCUCAGAUUUCUCGGUCUGCGCAUGUGAGAAAACAGACGGCGGUACCAGAAAUAAGCAGCCUUCAGCACAGCACCUGCAAGACGGCAACAAAACACAUCUGGAGCGACACUGAAACCAAAUACAUGCUUGAUGAAAUGAAGGAUUUUAAUAUUCUUCUUCUUCUAGAUGAUGUGUGUUCAUACUUCCAGCUAUCGGAUUACUAAGUGCAUGUAAAUAAAAUCACUGAGAGGAACCAUCACUCAAGCAUUAAAAAGGCUCUAAUAAAAUGAGGAACAACCACUGCGAGGAACCAAGACUCACAAAAAAAACUGACAGGAACCAAAACUGAAAAGGAAAAAACUCCC